Molecule: ribosomal RNA, 512 nt
Filed under: Prepops sp. WCW-2003e
Lineage: Eukaryota; Metazoa; Arthropoda; Insecta; Hemiptera; Miridae
Description: partial 16S ribosomal RNA
Rfam family: Bacterial large subunit ribosomal RNA (bases 386-512)
Source: RNAcentral
GGUCUUUUGUUUAUAUAAAAGAUCUAACCUGCCCUAUGAUUUAAUAUAUUAAAUGGCUGCAGUAUUUUGACUGUACAAAGGUAGCAUAAUCAUUUGUCUUUUAAUUGGAGGCUGGUAUGAAGGGUUGGAUGAAAAAUAUACUUUCUUUUUUUUAUAAAAGUAAUUUAAUUUUAUAGUCAAAAAGCUAUAAUAUUUUUAUAGGACGAGAAGACCCUAUAGAGCUUUAUUAUUAUUAUUUUAUAAUCUUUUUGUUUAUUAUAAGGUUAUAUUUUAUUAAUGAUUUUGUUGGGGUGAUGGAAAAAAUUUUAUAACUUUUUUUUGUUUUAACAUUUAUAUAUGUUUUUUUGAUCCUUUAUUAUGGAUAAUAAGAUUAAGUUACCUUAGGGAUAACAGCGUUAUUUUUUCGGAGAGUUCUUAUUGAUGGAAAAGUUUGCGACCUCGAUGUUGGAUUAAAAUAAGUGUUGGGGGUAGUAUAUCAAUUACUAGGUCUGUUCGACCUUUAAAUUUUUACA